UCCCAGCACCGAAUCCUCACUCUUCGGAGUGAGGAAAUGUGGUGUUUAGGUCGUGCUUUGUGCCGAUACUUCUCUCCUCAAGUCCACGUGAUUGUGGCUUCAGGCCCAGAGAGGGUGUAAGGCCCGUGGAGGCGAGAGGUUCGGUGCCCGGUGCGCCCUUAGAGUCGGGUUGUUUGGGAAUGCAGCCCAAAGCGGGUGGUAAACUCCAUCCAAGGCUAAAUACUAACACGAGUCCGAUAGCGAAGAAGUACCGCGAGGGAAAGUUGAAAAGAACUUUGAAGAGAGAGUUCAAGAGUACGUGAAACCGCUGAGAGGCAAACUGGUGGAGCUGAAAUGGCCCCGAGGAAUUCAGCCGUUUGUGGCGUCUCAGGUGGCAAUGNGGAGAUCUCACGACUCCCUUGUUGUCUGGCGAUGCUGCGAUAGGUGCACUUUCCUCGUGGGCCGGACCACGACCGGCGAGCUGUCUUGUCNAUCGUGCUNGGAAGGUGGCGCCGGCUUUGCUGGCGUGUUAUAGACUGGCAUAUGGAGCGAAUGGCGCGCUGGAGGAGAACGCCUGCCCUUGUUGGCUCGUACGUUGGCUGGUUUGUUGGUGACUUCGUUUUCACUGCUUCGGCAGAGGAGUUGAAGGCGUUGGCAUAUCGGUUGGCCUCUGCGAUUGGCGUUGUAAAGUCUGUGGUUGUGAAGUAGGUAGUCCACCUGACCCGUCUUGAAACACGGACCAAGGAGUCUAACAUUUACGCGAGUCAUUGGGUUCUACGAAACCUAAAGGCGCAGUGAAGGUAAAGAUCCACUAUGGUGGAUUGAGGUGGGAUGCUGGGUUACGUGCUCAGCCGCACUACCGGCCCGUUCCUUAUGUANCUCAUGGGGGCGGAGCAAGAGCGUACAUGUUGGGACCCGAAAGAUGGUGAUCUAUGCUUGCGCAGGUCGAAGCCAG
Molecule: ribosomal RNA, 934 nt
Filed under: Diposthus popeae
Lineage: Eukaryota; Metazoa; Platyhelminthes; Polycladida; Diposthidae
Description: partial large subunit ribosomal RNA
Rfam family: Eukaryotic large subunit ribosomal RNA
Source: RNAcentral